CGUGACCCGGCGCUGCCGAUCCGCCCCGCCCCGCGCCCCCGUGAUGUCAUCGGCGGCGGCCCGUGGCGGCGCACGUGGGCGCUGACGUCGUGGUGGGGCCGGCGGGCGGGACGGCGGCAGGUGAGGGCGAGGGGGGUGGCCGGGCCCGGCCCGAGUGGGGCGGCGGGCAGCAGGAGGGGUCUGGGCGGGCCGGAGCACGGCGCGGUUCCCUCAGCCGCCCUCGCCGGGCCCUGUCAGCCGCGGCCUGUGGAGGCCGGAAGGUCCGCAGCGAAGGUCCCACAUCUCUGCCUGGAGCCGGCCUGUGCCCCGGGGGCUGACUGGUGUGUAGUGUAUAGAUCGUGUACCACGGGCACCUUGGGGGCUCUGCUGCUUCCGUCUCCCCGCAGCGGCACUGCUGUGUUGCUGCUGCUCGGCCUUAGCGUUUCCUUCUGUAAAACGAGGAGUGGUCUCUCAGAGCGGUUGCAGAAACAAAUCGAUGUAAAAAUACACAGGAUUCAAUCACGAGGCCCAGCAGGCCUCGCUCGCAGUGCAGCGGCCGCCUUGGCACUGGAUUGCAGCCCGAGCGCGUUUUCAGCUCUGUGCUGGGGGAUGAGAGCGCUUUAUGGGGGGCGAAGGUUGUGCUGCGUUUCACUUCUGCCCUUUGCUUUCUCAGGCACAUUUCCAAGGCCGAGCAAGUUGCCGAAUGGUGUUUGGUGUGAGGGAAAGCAAGAGGAGUCCAGACGUGGGGAGCAGUGUGGGCAGUUUCAGGUGGGAAGAUGAGUCCAAAAAUUACAACAGAACUGCUGAAGCAAUUGCGGCAGGUCAUGAAGAGUCCCAGGUAUGUCCAGGAGCCUGUGCAAGCCUACAUAGUGCCCUCUGGAGAUGCCCACCAGGUAUGGAUGGAUGAAUUACGGGAAUGAUUUUACUUAGAAAAGAAAAGAAAAGCAAGCCGGGGAUGACAGAAAUCAUCCUUCAUUCACUAACUUUCAUGGUUCUAGCAUAACAGCCUGAGUAACCCGAGAACCAUUGUGUUGGAAAAAGUUUCUGGAAUCUAUUCAAGAGACUGAAGUUUUUAUGUUCUUGUAACAAAUCAGUGUGGAUGUUCCACCAGCAAUUUCUCAUCAUGUUGUCUCCAGGGAGAAAAGAGAGCUUGCCAGAGCACUUGCUGUCCCCAUCCCGACUGUUGGAAAGUAUGGAUUUAUGUGGGGAGGAAAAAGCAUUAUCUGGGCUUUAGUUUCCCCAUUAGCACCUCCCGAAUAAGACAUCCUCUUGUGUCUGGUGGUUGCAGAGCUUUCCCUUUGCUAGAUCCAGUUC
RNAcentral lists this long non-coding RNA (1293 nucleotides) under Pavo cristatus (Indian peafowl). RNAcentral describes it as "lncRNA (ENSPSTG00000019005.1)". The record is from RNAcentral. Lineage: Eukaryota; Metazoa; Chordata; Aves; Galliformes; Phasianidae.